RNAcentral lists this small RNA (619 nucleotides) under uncultured Galactomyces. Its description in RNAcentral is "eukaryotic LSU rRNA". The stretch from base 354 to 619 matches the Rfam family "Eukaryotic large subunit ribosomal RNA", at positions 1 to 281 of the family's 3401-position model. Lineage: Eukaryota; Fungi; Ascomycota; Dipodascomycetes; Dipodascales; Dipodascaceae. The record is from RNAcentral.
CUUGGUCAUUUAGAGGAAGUAAAAGUCGUAACAAGGUUUCCGUAGGUGAACCUGCGGAAGGAUCAUUAAGAAUUGAUAAUAUUUGUGAAUUUCAUACAAACAACAAUAAUACUAUAGUCAAAACCAAAAUAAUUAAAACUUUUAACAAUGGAUCUCUUGGUUCUCGUAUCGAUGAAGAACGCAGCGAAACGCGAUAUUUCUUGUGAAUUGCAGAAGUGAAUCAUCAGUUUUUGAACGCACAUUGCACUUUGGGGUAUCCCCCAAAGUAUACUUGUUUGAGCGUUGUUUCUCUCUUGGAAUUGCAUUGCUUUUCUAAAAAAUCGAAUCAAAUUCGUUUGAAAAACAACACUAUUCAACCUCAGAUCAAGUAGGAUUACCCGCUGAACUUAAGCAUAUCAAUAAGCGGAGGAAAAGAAACCAACAGGGAUUGCCUUAGUAACGGCGAGUGAAGCGGCAAAAGCUCAAAUUUGAAAUCGGCCUCCAGGUCGAGUUGUAAUUUGUAGAUUGUAUCUUGAGAGCGGCUUAAAGUCUGUUGGAACACAGCGCCUUAGAGGGUGACAGCCCCGUAAAAUCUAUUCUCAUUGUAAGAUACUUUCGAAGAGUCGAGUUGUUUGGGAAU